Molecule: transfer RNA, 73 nt
Filed under: Camelus bactrianus (Bactrian camel)
Lineage: Eukaryota; Metazoa; Chordata; Mammalia; Artiodactyla; Camelidae
Also listed under: 1 other name
Rfam family: tRNA
About the family: Transfer RNA (tRNA) molecules are approximately 80 nucleotides in length. Their secondary structure includes four short double-helical elements and three loops (D, anti-codon, and T loops).
Source: Rfam by way of RNAcentral
GAGGAUAUAGUUCAAGUGGUAGAGCGCAUGCUUAGCAUUCACGAGGUUCUGGGUUCAAUUCCCAGUACCUCCU